AUAUUGGACAAUGGGUGGAAGCCUGAUCCAGCCAUCCCGCGUGUAGGAUGACGGCCUUAUGGGUUGUAAACUACUUUUAUCUGGGGAUAAACCUACUUACGUGUAAGUAGCUGAAGGUACCAGAAGAAUAAGCACCGGCUAACUCCGUGCCAGCAGCCGCGGUAAUACGGAGGGUGCAAGCGUUAUCCGGAUUUAUUGGGUUUAAAGGGUCCGUAGGCAGAUUAAUCAGUCAGUGGUGAAAUCCCUUAGCUUAACUAAGGAACUGCCAUUGAUACUGUUAGUCUUGAGUGAGGUUGCAGUGGCUGGAAUGUGUAGUGUAGCGGUGAAAUGCUUAGAUAGUACGCAGAACACCAAUUGCGAAGGCAGGUCACUAAGCCUCAACUGACGCUGAUGGACGAAAGCGUGGGGAGCGAACAG
This 417-nucleotide ribosomal RNA is filed under the name uncultured bacterium. Its description in RNAcentral is "bacterial SSU rRNA". It matches the Rfam family "Bacterial small subunit ribosomal RNA", at positions 361 to 775 of the family's 1533-position model. The record is from RNAcentral.